UGGCGGCGUGGCUAGACAUGCAGUCGUACGGACUAUCCCUUAUGAGUAAUCAGAAGGAUAGUUAGUGGCGAAAGGGUGCGUAAUGGAUAGGUAACGUACCCCAGGCUUCGGAAUAGCGCCAUCCCGAGCAAUCGGGGCUACCGAAAGGGGCGGUAAUACCGGAUGAUAUUAUUUAUCGAUAGGUAAAUAAUCAAAGAUUCGUUGGCCUGGGAGCGGCCUAUUUCCUAUCAGCUUGUUGGUGAGGUAAUGGCUCACCAAGGCUACGACGGGUAGCGGGACUGAGAGGUUGACCCGCCUCAUCGGAACUGAGACACUGUCCGGACCUCCACGGAGGGCUGCAGUAACGAAUAUUGGGCAAUGGGCGAAAGCCUGACCCAGCGACGCCGCGUGUGGGAGGAAGUCUUUCGGGAUGUAAACCACUUUUAGGGCUAAGAAAGUCCCGAUUCGUCGGGAUUGAUCUAUCCCAGAAAAAGUCACGGCUAACUCUGUGCCAGCAGCCGCGGUAAGACAGAGGUGGCAAGCGUUGUUCAGUGUCACUGGGCUUAAAGGGUGUGUAGGCGGCUACGCAAGCGCGUUGUGAAAUCCCCCGGCUUAACCGGGGAACUGCUGCGCGAACUACGUAGCUUGAGGCAGGUAUGGGUGCGGGGAACUGUUGGUGGAGCGGUGGAAUGCGUAGAUAUCAACAGGAACGCCGGCGGUGAAGACGCCGCACUGGGCCUGUCCUGACGCCGAGACACGAAAGCGUGGGGAUCGAACGGGAUUAGAUACCCCGGUAGUCCACGCCCUAAACGAUGUCUACUAGGCUGGGGAGGUUCUGACGCCGCCCUGGCCGAAGCAAAAGUGUUAAGUAGACCGCCUGGGGAGUACGGUCGCAAGGCUAAAACUCAAAGGAAUUGACGGGGGCUCACACAAGCGGUGGAGCAUGUGGAUCAAUUCGAAGCAACGCCCAAAACCUUACCUGGGUUUGAAAUGCUUGGAUGCCCGCCUGGAAACAGGUGGGGCUGCCUUCGGGGUGAAACUGCACAGGUGCUGCAUGGCUGUCGUCACCUCGUGUCGUGAAAU
RNAcentral lists this ribosomal RNA (1062 nucleotides) under uncultured Planctomycetota bacterium. RNAcentral's name for it is "bacterial SSU rRNA". It matches the Rfam family "Bacterial small subunit ribosomal RNA", at positions 37 to 1073 of the family's 1533-position model. The record is from RNAcentral. Lineage: Bacteria; Pseudomonadati; Planctomycetota.